RNAcentral lists this ribosomal RNA (470 nucleotides) under uncultured bacterium. Its description in RNAcentral is "partial 16S ribosomal RNA". It matches the Rfam family "Bacterial small subunit ribosomal RNA", at positions 28 to 501 of the family's 1533-position model. The record is from RNAcentral.
GAUGAAUGCUGGCGGCGUGCCUAACACAUGCAAGUCGAGCGGCAGCGCGAGUAGUUUACUACUUGGCGGCGAGCGGCGGACGGCUGAGUAACGCGUGGGAACAUGCCCCAAAGUGAGGGAUAACUGCUCGAAAGGGUAGCUAAUCCCGCAUAUGGUCUUCGGAGUAAAGGAUCUAUCCGCUUUGGGCGUGGCUUGCGUACGUUUGGGUAGUUGGUGAGGUAAUGGCUCACCAAGUCGACGAUCGUUAACUGGUCUGAGAGGAUGAUCAGUCAGACUGGAACUGAGACACGGUCCAGACUCCUACGGGAGGCAGCAGUGGGGAAUUUUGGACAAUGGGGGCAACCCUGAUCCAGCCAUGCCGCGUGAGUGAAGAAGGCCUUCGGGUUGUAAAGCUCUGUCGGCCGGGAAGAAAUCGCACAGGCUAAUACUCUGUGUGGAUGACGGUACCGGCAUAAGAAGCACCGGCUAAC